Molecule: ribosomal RNA, 136 nt
Filed under: uncultured eukaryote
Lineage: Eukaryota
Description: partial 18S ribosomal RNA
Rfam family: Eukaryotic small subunit ribosomal RNA
Source: RNAcentral
UGGUGGAGUGAUUUGUCUGCUUAAUUGCGAUAACGAACGAGACCUCGGCCCUUAAAUAGCCCGGCCCGCGUUUGCGGGCCGCUGGCUUCUUAGGGGGACUAUCGGCUCAAGCCGAUGGAAGUGCGCAGCAAUAACA